AUGCAGUCGAGGGGCAGCAUAAUGGAUAGCAAUAUCUAUGGUGGCGACCGGCGCACGGGUGCGUAACGCGUAUGCAACCUACCUUUAACAGGGGGAUAACACUGAGAAAUUGGUACUAAUACCCCAUAAUAUCAUAGAAGGCAUCUUUUAUGGUUGAAAAUUCCGAUGGUUAGAGAUGGGCAUGCGUUGUAUUAGCUAGUUGGUGGGGUAACGGCUCACCAAGGCGACGAUACAUAGGGGGACUGAGAGGUUAACCCCCCACACUGGUACUGAGACACGGACCAGACUCCUACGGGAGGCAGCAGUGAGGAAUAUUGGUCAAUGGACGCAAGUCUGAACCAGCCAUGCCGCGUGCAGGAUGACGGCUCUAUGAGUUGUAAACUGCUUUUGUACGAGGGUAAACGCAGAUACGUGUAUCUGUCUGAAAGUAUCGUACGAAUAAGGAUCGGCUAACUCCGUGCCAGCAGCCGCGGUAAUACGGAGGAUUCAAGCGUUAUCCGGAUUUAUUGGGUUUAAAGGGUGCGUAGGCGGUUUGAUAAGUUAGAGGUGAAAUUUCGGGGCUCAACCCUGAACGUGCCUCUAUACUGUUGAGCUAGAGAGUAGUUGCGGUAGGCGGAAUGUAUGGUGUAGCGGUGAAAUGCUUAGAGAUCAUACAGAACACCGAUUGCGAAAGGCAGCUUACCAAACUAUAUCUGACGUUGAGGC
This 705-nucleotide ribosomal RNA is filed under the name uncultured bacterium. Its description in RNAcentral is "bacterial SSU rRNA". It matches the Rfam family "Bacterial small subunit ribosomal RNA", at positions 55 to 752 of the family's 1533-position model. The record is from RNAcentral.